Non-coding RNA from Acanthosepion pharaonis, 111 nucleotides. Lineage: Eukaryota; Metazoa; Mollusca; Cephalopoda; Sepiida; Sepiidae. The record is from the annotation of a GenBank genome assembly.
UGACCACAUCAUGUUGAAGCACCAGUUCCUGUACAAUCACCAAAGUUAAGCAACAUUAAGCCUAGAAAGUACCUUGAUGGAUGAUCGCUUGGAAAUGCCAGGUGCUGUAAG